UCCUGGGGCCCACAAAAGCAGCUCUGGCCUCUGGCACCCACUGGGAGAGGCCCUGGAGCCCCGCCCAGAGCUCAAGCCACCCCAGGAGGAGGAGAGGAUUCUGGAAGUUUUUGCCUGCACUCCAAAUCUUCCUGCCUCUGGGAGCCAAGAUGUCAGGGACAGAAAAUGAAGGAUCAGGGAUCAGGUACCCCUUACCAGGCCCAUAGUUAUUCUGGACUUUAGACCAAGAAGGGUCCGACCAGAUGAUCCAGAAUGGACUGAAAAAAUGGGGAAACCAGCCUGGAGAGAAGUUAGAAAAGGAUAAAACUGUUUUUCAGGCCCAGCACCAGCAAGUCACUUCAUCUCUGUGUGCCUCAAUUUCCUUAUCUGAAGGAAGACUCCAUCCAUGCACUCCUUGUAGGACUGCUGAGGUUAAGUGAGCCGGCGGAAGUACAGCAGGAUCUCCGAGCCCAGGAGCCAGGAAGAUGGAAUACAGAGACUGAGACGAUCCAGGAGCUCACAGAGUGGAUGGGCUCAUUUGCCUUUCUUUCAAAAAAUAUUGAAGA
This is a long non-coding RNA of Mus musculus (house mouse), 545 nucleotides long. RefSeq annotates it as predicted gene, 42032. The record is from RefSeq and is a predicted model, not a curated record. Lineage: Eukaryota; Metazoa; Chordata; Mammalia; Rodentia; Muridae. The transcript has 3 exons.